This 256-nucleotide long non-coding RNA is filed under the name Lathyrus oleraceus (garden pea). RNAcentral's name for it is "Pisum sativum (pea) long non-coding RNA (PSAT_LNC014813)". The record is from RNAcentral. Lineage: Eukaryota; Viridiplantae; Streptophyta; Magnoliopsida; Fabales; Fabaceae.
UUAGAGUCUUUAGUGAUUAACCAUUAAAAAAUUUAAGAAUUAAUUCCUCUAAUUAAGAGAUUAUAGUUUAGAGGUCUUCACUAAUGGUAAAGUAAUAUUAUUAAAUUAAUUAGAUAUUGAUUAGUUUAUAUUAUUAAUAAAAUUAAUUGGAUUUUUACUAAUUUAUAAUUAAAUUAAUAAACUAUUGAUUAAUUAAUGUUAUUAGUUAAAUUAAUUAGAAUUUUUAUCAGCUUAUACUUAAAUUAUUUAGAUUGGA